This 879-nucleotide ribosomal RNA is filed under the name uncultured bacterium. RNAcentral describes it as "bacterial SSU rRNA". It matches the Rfam family "Bacterial small subunit ribosomal RNA", at positions 8 to 932 of the family's 1533-position model. The record is from RNAcentral.
AGAGUUUGAUCAUGGCUCAGGAUGAACGCUGGCGGCGUGCUUAACACAUGCAAGUCGAACGAACCUUCGGGUUAGUGGCGGACGGGUGAGUAACGCGUGGGAAUCUGCCCUCAGGAGGGGGAUAACGGUUGGAAACGACCGCUAAUACCCCAUAUGCCGAGAGGUGAAAUGAAUUUCGCCUGAGGAUGAGCCCGCGUCUGAUUAGCUUGUUGGUGAGGUAAUGGCUCACCAAGGCAUCGAUCAGUAGCUGGUCUGAGAGGAUGAUCAGCCACACUGGGACUGAGACACGGCCCAGACUCCUACGGGAGGCAGCAGUGGGGAAUUUUCCGCAAUGGGCGAAAGCCUGACGGAGCAACGCCGCGUGAGGGACGAAGGCCUCUGGGCUGUAAACCUCUUUUCUCAAGGAAGAAGAUAUGACGGUACUUGAGGAAUAAGCCACGGCUAAUUCCGUGCCAGCAGCCGCGGUAAUACGGGAGUGGCAAGCGUUAUCCGGAAUUAUUGGGCGUAAAGCGUCCGCAGGCGGCCUUUCAAGUCUGCUGUUAAAACGUGGAGCUUAACUCCAUCAUGGCAGUGGAAACUGAUUGGCUUGAGUAUGGUAGGGGCAAAGGGAAUUCCCGGUGUAGCGGUGAAAUGCGUAGAUAUCGGGAAGAACACCAGUGGCGAAGGCGCUCUGCUGGGCCAUUACUGACGCUCAUGGACGAAAGCCAGGGAGCGAAAGGGAUUAGAUACCCCUGUAGUCCUGGCCGUAAACGAUGAACACUAGGUGUCGGGGGAAUCGACCCCUUCGGUGUCGUAGCUAACGCGUUAAGUGUUCCCGCCUGGGGAGUACGCACGCAAGUGUGAAACUCAAAGGAAUUGACGGGGGACCCGCACAAGCGG